RNAcentral lists this ribosomal RNA (1333 nucleotides) under uncultured bacterium. RNAcentral describes it as "bacterial SSU rRNA". It matches the Rfam family "Bacterial small subunit ribosomal RNA", at positions 28 to 1382 of the family's 1533-position model. The record is from RNAcentral.
GACGAACGCUGGCGGCGCGCCUAACACAUGCAAGUCGAACGAGCGAGAGAGAGCUUGCUUUCUCGAGCGAGUGGCGAACGGGUGAGUAACGCGUGAGGAACCUGCCUCAAAGAGGGGGACAACAGUUGGAAACGACUGCUAAUACCGCAUAAGCCCACGGCUCGGCAUCGAGCAGAGGGAAAAGGAGCAAUCCGCUUUGAGAUGGCCUCGCGUCCGAUUAGCUAGUUGGUGAGGUAAUGGCCCACCAAGGCGACGAUCGGUAGCCGGACUGAGAGGUUGAACGGCCACAUUGGGACUGAGACACGGCCCAGACUCCUACGGGAGGCAGCAGUGGGGAAUAUUGCACAAUGGGGGAAACCCUGAUGCAGCGACGCCGCGUGGAGGAAGAAGGUCUUCGGAUUGUAAACUCCUGUUGUUGAGGAAGAUAAUGACGGUACUCAACAAGGAAGUGACGGCUAACUACGUGCCAGCAGCCGCGGUAAAACGUAGGUCACAAGCGUUGUCCGGAAUUACUGGGUGUAAAGGGAGCGCAGGCGGGAAGACAAGUUGGAAGUGAAAUCCAUGGGCUCAACCCAUGAACUGCUUUCAAAACUGUUUUUCUUGAGUAGUGCAGAGGUAGGCGGAAUUCCCGGUGUAGCGGUGGAAUGCGUAGAUAUCGGGAGGAACACCAGUGGCGAAGGCGGCCUACUGGGCACCAACUGGCGCUGAGGCUCGAAAGUGUGGGUAGCAAACAGGAUUAGAUACCCUGGUAGUCCACACUGUAAACGAUGAUUACUAGGUGUUGGAGGAUUGACCCCUUCAGUGCCGCAGUUAACACAAUAAGUAAUCCACCUGGGGAGUACGACCGCAAGGUUGAAACUCAAAGGAAUUGACGGGGGCCCGCACAAGCAGUGGAGUAUGUGGUUUAAUUCGACGCAACGCGAAGAACCUUACCAAGUCUUGACAUCCCUUGACGAUGCUGGAAACAGUAUUUCUCUUCGGAGCAAGGAGACAGGUGGUGCAUGGUUGUCGUCAGCUCGUGUCGUGAGAUGUUGGGUUAAGUCCCGCAACGAGCGCAACCCUUAUGGUCAGUUACUACGCAAGAGGACUCUGGCCAGACUGCCGUUGACAAAACGGAGGAAGGUGGGGAUGACGUCAAAUCAUCAUGCCCUUUAUGACUUGGGCUACACACGUACUACAAUGGCGUUAAACAAAGAGAAGCAAGACCGCGAGGUGGAGCAAAACUCAGAAACAACGUCCCAGUUCGGACUGCAGGCUGCAACUCGCCUGCACGAAGUCGGAAUUGCUAGUAAUCGCAGAUCAGCAUGUUGCGGUGAAUACGUUCCCGGGCCUU